RNAcentral lists this ribosomal RNA (506 nucleotides) under uncultured bacterium. RNAcentral's name for it is "partial 16S ribosomal RNA". It matches the Rfam family "Bacterial small subunit ribosomal RNA", at positions 899 to 1397 of the family's 1533-position model. The record is from RNAcentral.
ACUCAAAUGAAUUGACGGGGGCUCACACAAGCGGUGGAGCAUGUGGCUUAAUUCGAAGCAACGCGCAGAACCUUACCAGGGCUUGACAUGUACGGAUUAGUGGGGUGAAAGCCUCAUGACGCUCGCAAGAGUGGAACGUACACAGGUGCUGCAUGGCUGUCGUCAGCUCGUGCUGUGAAGUGUCGCGUUAAGUCGCUUAACGAGCGAAACCCUUAUCCUUAGUUGCCAGCGGGUCAUGCCGGGAACUCUAGGGAGACUGCCGGUGUUAAACCGGAGGAAGGUGGGGAUGACGUCAAGUCCUCAUGGCCUUUAUGCCCUGGGUUGCACACGUGCUACAAUGGCGUAUACAAAGCGACGCAAGCCAGCGAUGGCAAGCAAAUCGCCUAAAGUACGCCCCAGUUCAGAUCGCAGGCUGCAACCCGCCUGCGUGAAGUUGGAAUCGCUAGUAAUCGCGGAUCAGCUACGCCGCGGUGAAUAUGUUCCUGAGCCUUGUACACACCGCCCGU